Molecule: long non-coding RNA, 7141 nt
Organism: Mus musculus (house mouse)
Lineage: Eukaryota; Metazoa; Chordata; Mammalia; Rodentia; Muridae
Product: predicted gene, 38860
Exons: 2
Source: RefSeq, a predicted model, not a curated record
AAGAAGCAAAGGCCUGGCCCAGCCUUCUCCUUAUCACUCUCUUUUACUGUUUCCAAGAGACCAGCAGAAGUCCUGGCCCACCUAAUCACUCAGCCCCAGAACCCUCUUGGCCUCAGCUCUUCCUGCAGCCAUGCCAACCUAGCUCCUGGCUUCAGCAUCUCUUCUGGGGAUCUCCCAAGACAGCCCUUCCUCUCCCUAGAGGUGAGUGUCCUAUAUCCUCCCUGAGCUCCAGAAGGUGGGGGAGGGGCAGAGACAUCCCAGGGCCUGCCCAGGGAGUGCUUCCCUCCCACCCAGGGAUGCUCAAUUGCUUUCUAAUCCCCUAGGCCUCAAAGCAGCUUUGGUCUUCUCCAGGUAAGGCCUGACUAACAAGAGUCCUUGCUGUGCUAUAGACUGGAGCAGAGUCAGCCCCAGAGGUCACAUGACUGGCUCAGGAGGGAGGGCCCUGCAAGCAUGGGCUUGAGCCAGGACCUGUACACAGGAAACCGGUGGCCCUAUCUGAGAGUUGUCGAUGAGAAUCGAGCAUGGUGGUGCAGACACCUCUGUGGGGGUAGGUGCUCAUGGGCAGGGGAUUGCCUGCAGCUGCACCUGUGCUCUGUAGCUGGCAUCUGCUGACACCUCAGCUCCAACUUCAUCUCUCGUGUCCUCCCUCACUCUGUGGUUAGCCACAGUGGACAAACUCCCUCUAGCCAGGGACCUCUGCCUAAGCUCUUCCUACUAUCUGUACCCUACCCUCACCCCUUCCUUGCUUAACACGGGCCUGUCAGUUAAAUCCCAGACUAGCCAUUGCUUCCCUGGAGACUCCCCCUGGUCAGGCCUAGUCCCUAAUCACAUGAUCUUCUGGGAGCAUAUCCUACUUGAAGAGUCCUGGUAUUGCUGUGAUUCUUGGUUUAGCUUUCUCUCCACUUAGAUUGUUGGCCUUCUUAAGUCACGAACAGCCCCUUUGAGCUCUAGUGCAAACCUAGAGCCAAACAUAAUGCACAUAGUAGGUAUUAAAUAAACAUAAUACACACAGUAGGUGUUAAAUAAACAUAAAGAAUGGCUGAGGGAUAUGGACCCACACUUAAUGACAUACAAAAUGUCCACGGGCUAUUUGCAUGAAGAAUACAGCUUGCUGACAUUUCUGUGUGGUGUAUCAUCUCUCUCUCUCUCUCUCUCUCUCUCUCUCUCUCUCUCUCUCUCUCUUUCCCUCUCCCUCUCCCUCUCCCUCUCCCUCCCCCUCCCCUCCCCUUUCCCCUCUCUCUCUUUCUGUGUGUGUGUAUGUAUGUGUGUGUGUGUAUCUAUCUAUCUAUCUAUCUAUCUAUCUAUCUAUCUAUAUAUAUAUAUAUAUGUGUGUGUGUGUGUGUGUGUGUGUGUGUGUGUGUGUGUGUCUUCACACAGGAAAAAACCUUGGAAGAACAAAUGUAAAUUAGUACAGCCAUUAUGGAAAACAGUGUGGAAGUUCCUCAAAAAAUUAAAAAUAGAAAUGCCACAUGACCCAGCAAUCCUACUCCUGGGUAUUCAUCCAAGGAAGUGAAGCCAGCAUGUAGAAGAGCUACCUGCAUGCCAGGCGCUUGGCAGCCCUGGUCACAACAGUCAGGAUAUGGAGGUAACCUACACACCCACCAGUAAAUGUACAGAAAAAGAAAAUGUGGCGUAUUUGUGCAGGAACACAACUCAGCCGGAAAAAAAAAAAAAAAAAAAAAGAUGAAAUUCUGACGUCUGCGACAAAGUGGAAGAAGCUACAGAUCAUCGUGCUAAGUGACAUGAGCCAAACAUAGGCACCAUGUGGACCACCUCAUGUGAAGCUGAUGAGCAGAGAUUGAGAGUAGAGGGGUCACCAGAGGAUGGUAAAGGGGUCACCAGAGGACAGGGUUGUUGAAUAGGAACAAGGUACAACCCAGGUAUGGUCUCUCACAUCUAUAAUCCUGCAUUGUGAAAUUUUUUUUAAAGAUUUAUUUAUGGUUGUGAGCCUUCAUGUGGUUGUUGGGAAUUGAGUUUUUUUAGGACCCUUGCUCGCUCCAGUUGGCCCCGCUCACUUAGUUCCCUCUCGCUCAGUCCCUGCUUGCUCCGACCCAAAGAUUUAUUUAUUUAUUAUUAUACAUAAGUACACUAUAGCUGACUUCUGACGUACCAGAAAAGGGCAUCAGAUCUCAUUACGGGUGGUUUUGAGCUACCAUGUGGUUGCUGGGAUUUGAACUCAGGACCUUUGGAAGAGCAGUCAGUGCUCUUACCCACUGAGCCAUAUUGCCAGCCUCACAUUGUGAAAUUUAAGGCCAGCCUGAGCUACAUAGUGAGAUCUGGGCCAGCCACACUACAGUAAGUAACCCUGUGUCAAUAAAUCUAAACCAAACAAAUAGGACAAGCCACAGUGUGUCAGAAGAGUAUUGUAUGGUAUUCUCUGCUUGGAUAAAUCAUAGCUGACAGUAAUGUACUGUAGCCAAAGUGGCCAGAAGAGGGGAUCUUAUGUGUUGUCAUCUCAUAGAAAUAAUGAGUGUUGGAGGUGACAGGUGUCGUAAUUACCAUGAUCUGACCACUAUUCAAUAUAUACAUGUCAUGAAACAUCAAACCCCAUGAAAUUGUAUAAUAUGUCAGUUAAAAAUGCAAUCAUGCCAAGUGAUAGAGUAGUCUGUAUCAGGCAGUGGACACUGGAUUCCCAGUCAAUGUGACCACUAUCUGAAGGAUUGGAGCUGAUGAUUGAAGCACCCAGGUAGAACAGGUACGGGUAAAGGCACUGCAUGGAGAAGGGAGGGGAGACAAGAAGGGGGGAAAAGUAGCAAUCUCUGCCGCCUCUCCUGACAGAUGAACUGGACCAAGAGAGAAGGGAGGGACACACAGACCAUGGCCACAGUGGGAGGUGGAAUGGUAAGGAGGGCAUACCCAGAUUUGAACAAUAGAAGGAUCAGCAUAUCUAGGCUGGAGUGUAGACAAUAAUUCCGGGCAGGAGCCCCCCUUCCCCAGCGACCAUUAUCUCUGGUGCUGUCUCCCUCAUUUCUCUCUGAAUCAGGCUGGGAAGGUACAACUGUUGCCUCUGUCACUCAGGCUUCGCCAACAAUCCUACUGACUAAUAGAGUCAUCAGUCACUUUGGAGAUUGGAGAGGAGUCAGCCACCAACUUUACCAGGCUCUGAGGUCUGGAUCCCCCCGAGGCCACAGGACAGCACCCAUCUGAGGGUAGCAGAUUUGCUCUCUGAGGGUGUGGCUUGCAGAGGCCACAAGGUCUCCUGUUAGACCCUGAGCACAGAAGUUCAGGGCCAAGGUGGAGGGUCUGGCAGGGCAGGCAGUGGCUGCAGACACUUCAGUGGUUAAGAGCAUUGGCUGCUUUGGUAGAGAAUCAGAGUUCAAUUCCCAGCACCUACAUGGCUGCUCAUAACCGUGUACUACAGGUCCAGGGGACCAGCAGCUCUCUUCCGCCCUCACGGCAGCAGGCAUGCAAGACAUACUGCAGACAGUUAUACACAGAGAAUAAUAAAAAUAAAAAAUUUAAAAAGGACACAAGGGCAAAGAGGACACAGCGUAGACUUCCUGCAAUACAGCCCUGUCCCUCUUCACAUGACUGACCCUCCGUGGUGCCCACUGAGGAAGUCCAUUCAUGCACACCUCCCCCAGAACAACCUUCCUUGUCUGUCACCAAACACCCUAUGUCCCUGCUUUAACAUCAUCCUUGGUUCCCUAUUGCUUAUAGCAGUGGUUUAAUAACCUUUUGUUUGUUCCCUAAGAACUCUAAUGAAACUGUAUCCCCCACAGCUUCUCUCUGUGGCGUGUGUAAUCUCUCUUCCUGUGUUUAGUGGUAUAUUUUUAUUAAUAGGAAAUAGAAACUAUUAAGCAAUUGACACAACGAAACACAAUAAGGAUUAACUGUGAUUAGAUUAUUUUAUGACAUGACUUGAUAAAAUAGGUUUUAAUUAUCAAAUUAAAUAACCCACUCGGCCUGAAAUCAUGUGGAAUUUUAUGGAGUGGGUCUUAUCUGCAGUAUAUUCUGAGAACUGCACUGGCUCCCUCUCCAGCUGCCCCUCUCUGUGGGUAUAUCUAUCUAGCCCAUCUGUCUAGCCUUGUACAAGUCAGGACUGGUGGGUUGGUUACUGACUUACUUUUGUGUGUCUGAUAAGUGGCUCAGGGGACCACUCAAGGAACAAGAGUGUUCUCCUGAAGAGAGUACUGGGGCUUCAGAAACUGGGGUGGCUGUCUUGAGCCCCCAAAGAGGAGGAAGAAGGAAAAUGCAUCUUCAAUACAGGCUCUUCUAUCACCACAUGACAGCAGCUUACAAGGUAGACAGGGUCAUAUGGGCUCAUGACUAUAGUUCAUGACACAUGACUCACUGUGGUAGGUCAGGGAUGAAGGAGACAGUGGUAACUCACGGUAGAACAAAGCAGCUCAUCUCACACUGAGGGAAGGAGGAGGGAAUGAGGAGAGAGAGAACGUGGGGAGGGAUAGAAACAGAGCCCCUACAACCCAUUCAGAGUAUGACCCUAGGGACCUAACUUGCUUCCUUUGGGCCCUCCUCUUGUAGAUUGUACUACCUCCCAGCAGUGAGUGCCACAGGCUGGUAACUAAGUCUUUACUAUGUGGUUUCUGAUGGGAUAUUUAAGAUUCAAACCAUGAGACCUACACAGAAAACUUAGGAAGGAGGGAAACUAAGGCUCAGUUGGAAAUGUGCAGACUGCUCCCCACACCUUGCUGUCUGACCCCUAGCUCACCUGGCCUCCACUGAGAACUCAACAAAGCCCCUGUGUUGGGAAAUGGCUAAGUGAUCGGUCUUUGGUUUUCAGUUUCCUGGAUUUUAUAAUUUGCUUUUAUUUGCUUUCAGUGAACACUAAGAUGCUCAUUUUAGUAAAUGAAGGUGGUCACCUGCUGAAAUCUUCCACAAACUUUUAUUUGCUAAUUACAUACAACAUAAAACUUAACAAAGUAAUAGCCAGUCCCAAGCCACCAUCAGGCUUAGGUUCCUUCUUCCUCGCUCUGUGAUGAUGGCUCCAUGUUAAGAACUCAGCUCAGGGCGGGGGUCAUCUCUAGGGUGUGCCAGAGACCUGGACUGGGGAGGCCCCAGGGUGCUAUGGGGACAACUCUAGCUGAGACUUUUAACAGUGGGGGAUGUGGAUAUGGAUAUGAAGUGGAUAAGGACAGCUACCCACCCACAAAACCUUCUACCCAAAAUGUGUCCUGCCUACAAGAUAUGCAGGGACAAAGAUACAGCAGAGACAGAAGGAAUGGCCAACCAAUGACUGGCCAAAAUUGAGACCCACCCCAUGGGCAAGAACCAAUCCCUGACACUAUUAGCGAUAUUGUUUGUUAUGCUUGCAGAUAGGAGUCUAGAGGCUGUCCUCUGAGAGGCUCCACCUAGAAACCAAUGAAAACAGAUACAGAGACCCACAGCCAAACCUUAGACAGAGCUCAGGAAGUCUUGUGGAAGAGUUGAGAGAAGAACUGAGGGACCCAAAGAAGACAGGGACUCCACAGAAAGACCAACAGAGUCAACUAACCUGGACCCUUGGGGGCUCCCAGAGACUGAACAAAACAGUGAGCAUGGGCUAGACAGGUGUCCCCUGAACAUAUGUAGCAGAUGUGCUACUUGGUCUUCAUAUGGGUUCCCAACAACUGGAGCAGGGGCUGACCUUGAACGCUACUUUGUCUGAGAGAGGCUAUGCCUAGUCCGGCAGUGACUUGAUUUGUUUAUGUGUGGGGAGGCAACACAAGUGGGCGAGAGGAGAUUUGGGAUGACCCAAGGGGAGGCUUUCCCUUCUCAGAGAAGGGGAAGGGAGAUGGAGGGAGGAUCUGUGUGAGGGGGUUCUGGGAGAAGGGGGGCUGAUAUUGGGAUGCGAAAUUAAUAAAUGGAAAAAAUAGAACUCAGCUCUUCAUCAGUUCCUUGGGGAACUGAGGUCUUGAGGAACAUGCAAUGGUGUCUAUGCCCCUGCCUCACACCUCAUGUCUAUGGCAGCCCUAGCACCCAAAUACAUUAAUUAAUUAUUAAUUAAUUAAAUUCUUUUGGAGACAAACUACUUUAUGAAAAUAUCAACAUGCAAAGCUCCAGCUUGCUCUUUGGACUCACUGUGUGCCACUGUCGAAGAUUCUCAGUAUUUGGUGUGCAAUGUGAGCUUUCCUCCCCUUUUCUUGCUCAGGGUCUAGAACAGACCACAAACCAGUACCAAGCAAGAAAUGACAGGGGCCACGGUGGGAUCGGCUUGGCAGUUAGAGUGAGCACUGCUCUUGUAGAGGCCUUGAGUUCUGUUCUAUACAUCGCCUAUCAGGAGACUCACAACUGCCAGAGAAUCUGCUGACCUCUGACCACCACAGGCACCUGCAGUUAUAGUACAUCACCCCACAUACAAUUAAAAAAUAAAAAUAAAAAGCAGAUGCUGAAAGAUGGCUCAGUCAUUAAGAACGCUGGUUGCUUUUCCAGAGGUACUGGGUUCAAUUCCCAGCAUCUACCUGGCUGCUCACAACCAUGCCAACUUCACUUCCAGGGGAUUCAAUGCCCUCUUCUGGCCUCUGUAGGCACCAGGCACAUCCAUGGCACACCGGCAUACAUGCAAGCAAAACAGCCGAAUACAUAAAAUAAUAAUAAUAAUAAAAAUGAAUCUUUGAAAAAAAUAAUAAAAGUUGCUUGAAAAUUUUGGUCCAAAUUUAUUAGUUAAUAAGAAAAAUGAGACAGAAGGCAGACGCUAAAUGAGAUUUAAGUCAUAGUUUCCAGUCUGCUUUUAUGGGAAAAAAAAAAGCAAAAAAGUACCAAAACCAAACCAAACCUCACCAGACUCAGAAGCCCUCGACUGUAGCAGCAAGUGUGUCCAGAGUGAGGCAGGCGCCCAAAGCAUGGUGGCCAUCAAGUCUGUCACACGCUCCAUGUUCGUGUUCUUCAAGUCUGUCACACACUCCGUGUUCUCCCGCUGCUUUCGUUUAUGAAAAGAAAUUGCCAAGAGAAGUGGUGCACACCUUUAUCCAGCACUCAGGAGGCAAGCGGAUCUUUGUGAGUUUGAGGCCAGCCUAGUCUACAGAAUGAGUUCCCGGCUAUCCAAGGCUACUCGGCCAGGAAGAUGGUUCAGAGAGCAAAGGUACUUGCUGCCAACCCUUGGUGACCUGGGUGACUCCCUAGACCUCACAUGAUGUAAGGACAGAACCACUGCCUUCUAAGUUGUCCUCUGACUCCCUCAAAUAAAUAAAUGUAAUAACAA